This 503-nucleotide ribosomal RNA is filed under the name uncultured bacterium. RNAcentral describes it as "partial 16S ribosomal RNA". It matches the Rfam family "Bacterial small subunit ribosomal RNA", at positions 29 to 523 of the family's 1533-position model. The record is from RNAcentral.
AUUGAACGCUGGCGGCAGGCCUAACACAUGCAAGUCGAGCGGUAGCACAGAGAGCUUGCUCUCGGGUGACGAGCGGCGGACGGGUGAGUAAUGUCUGGGAAACUGCCUGAUGGAGGGGGAUAACUACUGGAAACGGUAGCUAAUACCGCAUAACGUCGCAAGACCAAAGUGGGGGACCUUCGGGCCUCAUGCCAUCAGAUGUGCCCAGAUGGGAUUAGCUGGUAGGUGGGGUAACGGCUCACCUAGGCGACGAUCCCUAGCUGGUCUGAGAGGAUGACCAGCCCCACUGAGCUGAGACACGGACCAGACUCCUACGGGAGGCAGCAGUGGGGAAUAUUGCACAAUGGGCGCAAGCCUGAUGCAGCCAUGCCGCGUGUGUGAAGAAGGCCUUCGUGUUGUAAAGCACUUUCAGCGGGGAGGAAGGCGGUGAGGUUAAUAACCUCAUCGAUUGACGUUACCCGCAGAAGAAGCACCGGCUAACUCCGUGCCAGCCGCCGCAGUAA